This 58-nucleotide microRNA precursor is filed under the name Nautilus pompilius. RNAcentral's name for it is "Npo-Mir-33_pre stem-loop". It matches the Rfam family "mir-33 microRNA precursor family", at positions 6 to 65 of the family's 69-position model. The record is from RNAcentral. Lineage: Eukaryota; Metazoa; Mollusca; Cephalopoda; Nautilida; Nautilidae.
GUGCAUUGUAGUUGCAUUGCAUUAGCCAACUAUUAUGCAAUGCAUCUGCAGUGCAAAC